AUCAACUUUCGAUGGUAGGAUAGAGGCCUACCAUGGUGGUAACGGGUAACGGGGUGUUAGGGCACGACACCGGAGAGGGAGCCUGAGAAACGGCUACCACAUCCAAGGAUGGCAGCAGGCGCGCAAAUUACCCAAUCCCGACACGGGGAGGUAGUGACAAUAAAUAACAAUACGGGGUUCUUUAGGAUCUCGUAAUUGGAAUGAGUACAAUUUAAAUCUCUUAACGAGGAACAAUUGGAGGGCAAGUCUGGUGCCAGCAGCCGCGGUAAUUCCAGCUCCAAUAGCGUAUAUUAAAGUUGUUGCAGUUAAAAAGCUCGUAGUUGAAUUUCGGGGUCAGUAGGCUGGUCAUGCCACAGGUAUGUACUGGUCUCACUGAUUCCUCCUUCCUGAUGAACCGUAAUGCCAUUAAUUUGGUGUUGCGGGGAAACUGGACUGUUACUUUGAAAAAAUUAGAGUGUUUAAAGCAGGCUAACGCUUGAAUACAUUAGCAUGGAAUAAUGAAAUAGGACGUUCGAUCCUAUUUUGUUGGUUUCUAGGAUUGACGUAAUGAUUAAUAGGGAUAGUUGGGGGCAUUAGUAUUCAAUUGUCAGAGGUGAAAUUCUUGGAUUUAUUGAAGACUAACUACUGCGAAAGCAUUUGCCAAGGAUGUUUUCAUUAAUCAAGAACGAAAGUUAGGGGAUCGAAGACGAUCAGAUACCGUCGUAGUCUUAACCAUAAACUAUGCCGACUAGGGAUCGGAUGAUGUUAUUUUUAAUGACUCAUUCGGCGCCUUACGGGAAACCAAAGUGUUUGGGUUC
This 797-nucleotide ribosomal RNA is filed under the name uncultured Rhizophagus. RNAcentral describes it as "SSU rRNA". It matches the Rfam family "Eukaryotic small subunit ribosomal RNA", at positions 314 to 1114 of the family's 1831-position model. Lineage: Eukaryota; Fungi; Glomeromycota; Glomeromycetes; Glomerales; Glomeraceae. The record is from RNAcentral.